AUCCAGCUGACGAAUCGGAAAUAAGGCGAACUGCGCGUCCUAGAU
RNAcentral lists this non-coding RNA (45 nucleotides) under Schistosoma margrebowiei. The record is from RNAcentral. Lineage: Eukaryota; Metazoa; Platyhelminthes; Trematoda; Strigeidida; Schistosomatidae.